This 1417-nucleotide ribosomal RNA is filed under the name Enterococcus faecalis. Its description in RNAcentral is "bacterial SSU rRNA". It matches the Rfam family "Bacterial small subunit ribosomal RNA". Lineage: Bacteria; Bacillati; Bacillota; Bacilli; Lactobacillales; Enterococcaceae. The record is from RNAcentral.
CUUGCUCCACCGGAAAAAGAAGAGUGGCGAACGGGUGAGUAACACGUGGGUAACCUGCCCAUCAGAAGGGGAUAACACUUGGAAACAGGUGCUAAUACCGUAUAACAAUCGAAACCGCAUGGUUUUGAUUUGAAAGGCGCUUUCGGGUGUCGCUGAUGGAUGGACCCGCGGUGCAUUAGCUAGUUGGUGAGGUAACGGCUCACCAAGGCCACGAUGCAUAGCCGACCUGAGAGGGUGAUCGGCCACAUUGGGACUGAGACACGGCCCAAACUCCUACGGGAGGCAGCAGUAGGGAAUCUUCGGCAAUGGACGAAAGUCUGACCGAGCAACGCCGCGUGAGUGAAGAAGGUUUUCGGAUCGUAAAACUCUGUUGUUAGAGAAGAACAAGGAUGAGAGUAACUGUUCAUCCCUUGACGGUAUCUAACCAGAAAGCCACGGCUAACUACGUGCCAGCAGCCGCGGUAAUACGUAGGUGGCAAGCGUUGUCCGGAUUUAUUGGGCGUAAAGCGAGCGCAGGCGGUUUCUUAAGUCUGAUGUGAAAGCCCCCGGCUCAACCGGGGAGGGUCAUUGGAAACUGGGAGACUUGAGUGCAGAAGAGGAGAGUGGAAUUCCAUGUGUAGCGGUGAAAUGCGUAGAUAUAUGGAGGAACACCAGUGGCGAAGGCGGCUCUCUGGUCUGUAACUGACGCUGAGGCUCGAAAGCGUGGGGAGCAAACAGGAUUAGAUACCCUGGUAGUCCACGCCGUAAACGAUGAGUGCUAAGUGUUUGGAGGGUUUCCGCCCUUCAGUGCUGCAGCUAACGCAUUAAGCACUCCGCCUGGGGAGUACGACCGCAAGGUUGAAACUCAAAGGAAUUGACGGGGGCCCGCACAAGCGGUGGAGCAUGUGGUUUAAUUCGAAGCAACGCGAAGAACCUUACCAGGUCUUGACAUCCUUUGACCACUCUAGAGAUAGAGCUUCCCCUUCGGGGGCAAAGUGACAGGUGGUGCAUGGUUGUCGUCAGCUCGUGUCGUGAGAUGUUGGGUUAAGUCCCGCAACGAGCGCAACCCUUAUUGUUAGUUGCCAUCAUUCAGUUGGGCACUCUAGCAAGACUGCCGGUGACAAACCGGAGGAAGGUGGGGAUGACGUCAAAUCAUCAUGCCCCUUAUGACCUGGGCUACACACGUGCUACAAUGGGAAGUACAACGAGUCGCGAAGUCGCGAGGCUAAGCUAAUCUCUUAAAGCUUCUCUCAGUUCGGAUUGUAGGCUGCAACUCGCCUACAUGAAGCCGGAAUCGCUAGUAAUCGCGGAUCAGCACGCCGCGGUGAAUACGUUCCCGGGCCUUGUACACACCGCCCGUCACACCACGAGAGUUUGUAACACCCGAAGUCGGUGAGGUAACCUUUUGGAGCCAGCCGCCUAAGGUGGGAUAGAUGAU